RNAcentral lists this ribosomal RNA (399 nucleotides) under uncultured bacterium. RNAcentral's name for it is "bacterial SSU rRNA". It matches the Rfam family "Bacterial small subunit ribosomal RNA", at positions 30 to 431 of the family's 1533-position model. The record is from RNAcentral.
AUUGAACGCUGGCGGCAUGCCUUACACAUGCAAGUCGAACGGCAGCACGGGAGCAAUCCUGGUGGCGAGUGGCGAACGGGUGAGUAAUAUAUCGGAACGUGCCCAGUCGUGGGGGAUAACGUAGCGAAAGCUACGCUAAUACCGCAUACGAUCUACGGAUGAAAGCGGGGGAUCGCAAGACCUCGCGCGAUUGGAGCGGCCGAUAUCAGAUUAGGUAGUUGGUGAGGUAAAGGCUCACCAAGCCGACGAUCUGUAGCUGGUCUGAGAGGACGACCAGCCACACUGGGACUGAGACACGGCCCAGACUCCUACGGGAGGCAGCAGUGGGGAAUUUUGGACAAUGGGCGCAAGCCUGAUCCAGCAAUGCCGCGUGCAGGAUGAAGGCCUUCGGUUGUAACU